Molecule: ribosomal RNA, 490 nt
Filed under: uncultured bacterium
Lineage: Bacteria
Description: bacterial SSU rRNA
Rfam family: Bacterial small subunit ribosomal RNA
Source: RNAcentral
AUUGAACGCUGGCGGCAUGCCUUACACAUGCAAGUCGAACGGCAGCACGGGAGCAAUCCUGGUGGCGAGUGGCGAACGGGUGAGUAAUAUAUCGGAACGUGCCCAGUCGUGGGGGAUAACGUAGCGAAAGCUACGCUAAUACCGCAUACGAUCUACGGAUGAAAGCGGGGGAUCGCAAGACCUCGCGCGAUUGGAGCGGCCGAUAUCAGAUUAGCUAGUUGGUGGGGUAAAAGCUCACCAAGGCGACGAUCUGUAGCUGGUCUGAGAGGACGACCAGCCACACUGGAACUGAGACACGGUCCAGACUCCUACGGGAGGCAGCAGUGGGGAAUUUUGGACAAUGGGCGCAAGCCUGAUCCAGCAAUGCCGCGUGCAGGGAUGAAGGCCUUCGGUUGUAACUAGCUUUGUACGAACGAAACGGUAGAGCUCUAAUAAAGACUUGCUAAUGACGGUACCGUAAGGAAUAAAGACACCGGCUAACUAACGUACG